Molecule: ribosomal RNA, 437 nt
Filed under: uncultured bacterium
Lineage: Bacteria
Description: bacterial SSU rRNA
Rfam family: Bacterial small subunit ribosomal RNA
Source: RNAcentral
UCAAGAAACUUCCACAAUGGGCGAAAGCCUGAUGGAGCGACGUCGCGUGAUGGACGAAGUGCUUCGGCACGUAAACAUCUUUUAUGUGGGAUGAAAUUAUUGACAGUACCACAUGAAUAAGGGGCUCCUAACUCUGUGCCAGCAGGAGCGGUAAUACAGAGGCCCCAAGCGUUAUCCGGAAUCACUGGGCGUAAAGGGUGUCGAGGCGGUUGUAUUAGUCGUUCGUAAAAUCUACGAGCUUAACUUGUAGGCGGCGAACGAAACGGUACGACUUGAGGUUUGGAGAGGUGCGUGGAACUCACGGUGUAGGGGUGAAAUCCGUUGAUAUCGUGGGGAACACCAAAGGCGAAGGCAGCGCACUGGCCAAAAUCUGACGCUCACACACGAAAGCUAGGGUAGCGAAGAGGAUUAGAUACCCCUGUAGUCCCUGAGCGGGC